RNAcentral lists this ribosomal RNA (164 nucleotides) under Aspasia principissa. RNAcentral describes it as "5.8S ribosomal RNA". It matches the Rfam family "5.8S ribosomal RNA". Rfam says of the family: 5.8S ribosomal RNA (5.8S rRNA) is a component of the large subunit of the eukaryotic ribosome. Lineage: Eukaryota; Viridiplantae; Streptophyta; Magnoliopsida; Asparagales; Orchidaceae. The record is from RNAcentral.
UACACGACUCUCGGCAAUGGAUAUCUCGGCUCUUGCAUCGAUGAAGAGCGCAGCGAAAUGCGAUAUGUGGUGCGAAUUGCAGAAUCCCGUGAACCAUCGAGUCUUUGAACGCAAGUUGCGUCUGAGGCCAGCCGGCCAAGGGCACGUCUGCCUGGGCGUCAAGC